This is a long non-coding RNA of Marmota flaviventris (yellow-bellied marmot), 619 nucleotides long. RefSeq lists it as uncharacterized. NCBI's taxonomy places the organism in Eukaryota, Metazoa, Chordata, Mammalia, Rodentia, Sciuridae. The record is from RefSeq and is a predicted model, not a curated record.
UGCCGUGAGUGUUCAGAGAUCAGUGGGAGGGGACAUGAAGGCUGGAGAGGCGGGGCUUCCUUUCUGGAGAAGGUCUGGGUGAGCAGACUGAUAGGAGACCUACUGAAAUGGAAGAAAGAGAAAAAUCUUCAGAAGUCCAAGGAUCUGGCCAUUGAAGGCUCUUAAGAGGUCCCCCUUCAAAGCAGUGCCAAGGGGAGGUGGGGUGGGCAGACACUGUGGACUGAAGAUGUGAGGCGAGGUUACCGGUGCCAAUCCCUUUGCUCCUCCAUCCUGAUUGGUGCAAGGGCAGGGCCUGAACAAAGCCCAGCUGACCAGAGCCCUUCCCCGAGACUGUGCACUUGGGAGAAUGCAAGCAAGUCCCUCUCUCGUCAGAGAACAUCACCACGUGAAAUGCAGUCCUGGCCAGCAGCUGUGUCCCCUGUCACCCAGGGCCUGCAAGUCAAAGAACCUGUGAUGUGAGAGGAUGGAGUCUAUCCCAACAGGAAGCAGAGACAAGAGAUUUAGUGAGUCCCUCAAAGGACUGUGUUCCUGCCCUUCCGUGGUUUGUGGCUUGGUGACUGAUUUCUUCCUCUGCUGGUGGGGCUAUCCAAAUCCUUUGAAUAAACUCCUGUUUCUCUAA